CGCCUCCAGAAAGAAUGUUAUGAAGUUGCCACAUACUCACAUGCUGGCAAACGGAGCAGACUUGAUCUCCAUCUGAGCCUAGUAACUGCCUUUCAUCCUCGUCAGCACAGCUCUGCUUCUGAAGUGACUUAUUUUAUCCUAACCGUGUGAUCCGAGGUUUGUGUCCCUUUUACCUGAGCAUCCAUGAUGCAGGUGAGAAGCAGGUGUGUUUUGGACAAUCUGGAUUGCACAAAGUGAUCUUUCUCAGUGACUGCUUUAAAUUGCCCCCCAACAACAACUAUUCCAGUGGGCCGAGUACAGGUGGGCCCACGCCGUGCCGGAUGCAUACCAGCUCCAGAGGCUUCUGAUCCAAGUUGGGGAUGUGUCUCUUCAGGCUCCUUCUCGGAGCUGACACUGGACUCAGUUCGGCUCUGGUUACUCUCAGGAACCAGGAGUCCUGUCGGCUCAGCAUUUUGGGAACAUAGCCACUUAUCCUCAUCCUCUUUAGUGGCAUUCUCCUAGACUUGCAGACUAUUAUCUAGAUUUCCAUUUCAACAAACUGCUUUAUUGACCAAGUCUGCCUUUCCCAUCAGGCUCUGUAAGGGCAGAGAUGUGUCAGCUUUGCUCUUGCUUUAUCUUCAGUACUUAGAAUAGAGCUUGGUCCAGUGAAGGCAUUCAAGUAUUUGUUAAAGAAUUACCUGUUACUUCAGACAAGACAAAGGUCGGGACAAAUAGCCAACUUCACAGGGCAGGCAAUAAACAUAGGGAACAUUACUUCAUGACUGUCCUUGAGGCAGUUAAAUGGACAAGGAUUUGUUUGGAUAGAUUUGGGGAUAAUGACUGACAUCAUAGAAUGCUGGUAAAGCCCCCAGAUAGAAAUUGGCUUUAGGGAAUUCCCUGGUGGUCCAGUGGUUAGGACUCAAGAGUUUCCACUGCCAGGAGCACGAGUUUGAUCCCUAGUUGGGGAACUAAGAUUCUGCAAACCGCACAGUGUGGCCCGGAAAAAAAAAAAAAAGAGAGAGACUUUAAGACUGCCCUAUUCUCUUCUGGAGUCAGAGGCUGAUGCUUCUGGAGGAAGCGAGUCACUGUCAAUCACAGCAGCAUUUCCCUGGUUUUUUAUUUUAAAUGUAUCUACUAUUGUUACCUGAACUGAAAUAUAUAAAAUAAUGCACAGGAC
Bos taurus (domestic cattle) is the source of this 1156-nucleotide long non-coding RNA. The record is from Ensembl. Lineage: Eukaryota; Metazoa; Chordata; Mammalia; Artiodactyla; Bovidae.